Molecule: long non-coding RNA, 4954 nt
Organism: Thunnus maccoyii (southern bluefin tuna)
Lineage: Eukaryota; Metazoa; Chordata; Actinopteri; Scombriformes; Scombridae
Exons: 5
Source: RefSeq, a predicted model, not a curated record
UAGGAAUCAGAAAUUUCUUCUCAUAAGUGACACCACUGGCCCUUACAGUCAGCCUGUUGCUCGCACUUGCGCACAUGCUCGCUAAUGAGUGAGCAGCAGUGCAAGACUAUUGCAGAUGUCUUUUUGCAUAAACACAAACACAGAGGCUCCUGUUGCGCUGUGGCUUCUGGCUGGUAGAGCCAAUCCACAUUGCCCAACCCGCUGUUAAUCAACCACCCAAACCUGACCCAACCCACUUUUUUUUACCAAUUGUGUUUACUAAACACCAGUAGGCUCAGUGAGCUGUGGCUAGGGAGCAACACACUGUUGUUUUGUUGUGAAAUGUGUGCUUAUUACCUCCUUUGGACAACCAACAGGAAAAACAAAAGGGCGGCCUGGAUUAGCAUCAUGGACAUCAAGAAAAAGAGUUUUCUUAGCAGAAAAAGAAAACGAGAAAGCCCAGGCCAGACAGGGAAAGAAAAGGGGAGUGAACAGGCAUCAGAGAGCGAUAGAGGCAGACAUAAAGAGAGAGAGAGAGCGACAGAGCCCUGGCCAGGCAGAGAAAGGAGAAAGAGGUGACCAGGUGCAAGCUCAGCCUAUAUCAGAGGAUUUGACAGGGGCUUUUUCUUCAGCCCUAUUGGAAGAUUUAACAGAGUCCACCUCUACGCCUUUCCUCAAAGACCCGGGUCAGUUCACUCCAACAGCACUUCAACUAGGCUGCAAGGACAGCAGCCAAUAUUCUGCUCUCGGUACUUGAAUAAACAUAUCCCAGCCAGUUAGCGUGCAUGACUGGCUUCAGAUGAGGUGAUGGAGGGUCAUUUUCCAGCUUUGAUUGACCACUGUAAAAGCCAGAGCUCACAAUUAUUUGCUGCCACUCAACACCAAGCCGCUCUGUUGCUUUACCUACACAGAAUGAAAUUAGUUGUUGCUUUAAAUCAGCCAACAGUGACGAAUGUGCAGUUUUCCACAGUCUGUGCCAUGCCUCUUCACAGCCACAGGGCUAUUUGUUGCUAAAUAAAGAUCAAUACAGAACAAGAGAUCCAUGCAGAUACAAGUACUCAGGGACAUUUACUCAUUGGUUCUGCACAUUUGUGUUUGAAACAGAUGUGGCCUUUGUACACAAGAAAAUAUUCUGCAGUUAUAGUCAAAGAGGAGACAAAGAGGAGAGGGAUAGCAAACAGGAAAACGAAAUUACAUUGGAGUUGCAAGUAAAUGAAGGACAAAUAAAAAAGGAUAGUAAAUAAAACUGUGAUUUUGUGCCAAGAUGAUUUGCAAUUGAAAUUUAGCUCUUUACUUAAAGCAAAUAAUUGUGAGGAGUAGGUACAAAGAUGUGGCCUCCACUAACUCACCCACAGUAGAUACAUGAAACUGUGUACAGUGACCACUCUUUGUGCUGUUGUUGUCACUUUGAUCCGAGCAAAUGGAACACGUCCUUCAGAGCUAUCACUCUCCACCUGCACUGCAGCAUACAUGCCUUUAUCAUCUUGUCUAAAUUUGAAAGAAAAACCUAAUGAUUGAUUUUUUUCUUUAAAAGCAUUUGAAAGUGUCUAUCUUGCCAGAUGCUAUUUAAAAAACAAUAGUUAAGUUCAGAGGCCUUGGACAUUGUGGAUCCUGUGUCCUCUCUGUUUCUGCUGACGCUGUGUGUUGACACAACCGUAAGUGUGCGGCUUUAUCACUGAUCCACUGGGAAAGUACAGCUAAUAGAAUUAAUUGUAUUUCACAUUCUGUUUGCGUUUUCAGUUGCUCCAUAUGUGUUCUUACACACUCUGUUAAUUCCUCACUGUGAUUGUCUUUAUCAAGUUAAUCCCAAUAUUUAAAAGACCCGCCUCUCCAGUCAUCCAUUUGUACUUUGUUUCCUUCUGUGAUUGUGACCUCUGCUGCAUCCAUCCAUGAACACAAACCUCCUACUGAUAACGGGGGAAUAAAACAGCAAAGGCUUUGCAUCUAAAAGUCUGUCUGCUGUUUUUCUUUAUGACAGCCUUUACUCAGCGCAGCCAGCCAGCACAAGGCAGAUCAGCUCUUUGGGUAGGAAGUCUGACUUGAACAGUUGCUGGUUUGUCCUUGGCACUGGUAGUGCCCAACAUAACUGCAGCAAGGGCACCUCAAAAACCAUGUUAAGUAUGUGUGCUGAUGUCCUCCAAGGUCUGCUAGUGGAUACUGUCAGAGUAAAAAUAAAUUACACACACUGUCUUACACUGAUGGUAUAGCCACUAUUUCCUCUGAAUAUAAAACAAUUUACAAUCUUGUCCUUGGUGAAAAUUCAGGGGACUAUCUCUUAUCUUGUCUUGUGUUUUUCCAUUAAAAACUGGCCAGUGUGACAUGGAGCUAGGGGCUAAGCUAAAAGCCUUCUCUGUAUGCAGCAGCUGUGUACGUGUGUGUGUGUUUGUGUGUAUGUGUGUGUGUAUGUCUUCGUAUGUGUGUGUGUGUGUGUGUGUGCAUGAGAAUUUGUGAGAUAUUAGAAUUAAGGAGUGGCUUGGUUAAUCACCCUUUAUCAACUGCUCCCUUUGGCUCCUUUGCAGUCCCCCUCACCGAUCAGGCUGACACAGCCACUGAGAUGCACUAAUAACAUUGCUCAUCCAAACAGAAUUAAACCUGAAAGGCCUCAGCCAUUGGAAGGAUCCCUUAGGAACUGCAGCUAAAAAGUCUGGAACCAGACAUCGUACAGGGACAGUCAAAACUGAUUUAAUGCUUUCCUACUGAGCAACAGACAAGAACGUGCACACAGAGACAAAGCAAUAUUCAGCAUUAAAACGACUGUUUUAGAAGUUAUCCGAUUACAUGAGUAAUAAUGCAGCCACAUUGGAAUUUGAAUCCCAAAAUGUCCAUAAUGUCUAAGCUCUUUGGUCCUCAUAACUGCAUUGUAGUUUGAACAAAAUGACUUCUACAUUCAGCUAUUGUGUAAGUCAAAGCCUAUUUGAAAGGGAUAAAGGGCUUUCUUAUGAAGUUCAUGGGGGAGUCAAGUUCAUUAGUGGUUUUGAUGGAGUAGGAGGUAUGAAUCAAACCUGAGUCAGUGAGAGAAAGAGGGAGACAGAGAGAAAGAGAUGAUAAGAACCGUUGAGGCUUUCACUAAGAGCUGAGCAAACCACAAACAGGCUCCAAAGGGGCAGGUCUUCAGUCCCUCCGUCAAUACUGGGUCACACACACAAAAGUAGGUGUGCCACACACAUAUAAGCAGUUAAUGUUACAUUGAUCACUAUUUUCCCAUUACUCUCAUAAUCUGUUGUGUUGCUUUUCAUAAAACAGCCACCCACUUUCUCUCUAAUUACUCUGUGUGCCAAUUAGUGUGGUUGUGGCAGUUUACAGUUAUGUAGUAUAUGUUGCUAUGUAGCUAAGUGGGAUCUGACAGAAUUGGGUCACAUCAAUACAAGAGAAUACAGUUACUUCUCACUCUAAUCUAGACUAAUCUAGAUCGUUCCGAUAAGGUUGUUAUAGUCUUUCAAUUCAGAUAGGGUAGGAAUGUGAUAGCUUCUACGUUCUACACACUUUUUUGGUUCCCAAAAGACAUAUUGACAGUGGAUAUGUGCACUUGCCAGCUCAUAGUCACAGUUGCCUCAGUUCUGAAAGGGAUUUCACCAUUUACUUUAAAGUUUCAUCAUGAACAGGACACGAUGCAUUCCUUUGACACUGAAAUCAAGUGGUUGACACAAGUGGCUAAAUGAUGCUAAAUAGUGUUAAAAAGCAAUUAAAGCUACACAUCUGAUUAUAAAUGUUUAAUACUGUAUGUACAGUAUGAACCUACUCUAAGACAGAAGGGAUAUAAUAUGCCCAUUCUGCAUGGGUUCACAAAUGAUUUGCAUUGUUAGCUGAAGACUAGCAUUAAUAUAUUUACAUGAUUUAUCUAUAAAAAAAUAAGCAGAAACAAAGCUAACUGCUGAGCAGCCUUUUCUUCUAUUUGAUAUUUUCUCAAAUAUGACAAAUGAAACUGUUAUACUGAUAGAUAUAAAUGAGCUGUCUUGGAAAUGAAGGCUCAUAGCAACUAAGCAAUAAAAUUACUUUUCAACAUGUAGGCUUCCACUCAUGAGCAGUGGGGAAUAGGGCUUCCAAGCAGGCCCAUUAGGUUCAAUAAAAUAAACAAGACUGGAAGCCACUUGAUGAAACUGUGACAGUUUUAUUUACUGACAGGCACCAUAAAUCAGUUAAGAACAAAACAGAACACAAAAGGCAAAUUUAACAUGGAGCAGAAGCAACAUGUUUCAGCCUUAGAGCUCUUCUUCCUCAGGUAGCAUCAAUCAAUAGGUUAAGUUGAAUCUUAGAAAUAGAGGAACAUAUCACAUCCCAAAUGCAUGGUCACAUGCACAACUUGUUUCAUCAUGCAGCCUCCAGUGUCUUUUAUUGCAUGACACAGGCAGGAAAUUAGUAGUAUAAAAUACUUCCAAGAUAUGCUGCCCUGGUAAGUCAAGUAGAACCGCCGCGCUGCACGACCUCAGCACUGACAUUCAAUCAGUUCUGAGUGGGCGUUUGGGUGAGAAUAAGCCGCCUGACUGACAGUGCUAAAAGGGGUCAGGAAGUCCAAGGCUAUUGAUCAAUAAAAGUGAGCAAGUAUACACGGGAUACAUGCCCGACACAUACACACAAACACACUCUCUGUCUUUCUCACCCCAGGAAAUAUACCUUGCUUCAGACUGUUCAUUAGAAAUCACAAGACCCUCUGCCAUCUUCAGUCCCUCCCACACUCAUUCCAUAAAAGACCGCAUAAUAAUAGAGGGAAGACACUCAGCCUUUUGAACACAAUCUACACAUCUCCUUAUUGUGUAUUUACUACAUCAGACCUAUGAUUGGGUUUAUGUAUCUCCCUGAAGCUGCUACAAAGCAUUUAGCCUUCCUCCUCUCUACAUUAUUAAAUGUUCCUGUCAUUAUUUUUGAUGACUUCUCUCAGGCAUUCCUCUGAAAAUAGAACUCCCUUGUUCAGCGGCUGCCAGGCGAGAAAAGGCAGACAGAGGAGAGCAUGGUUGCGCUGGUAAUGCUGGAAAAGAGA